Molecule: non-coding RNA, 21 nt
Filed under: Arabidopsis thaliana (thale cress)
Lineage: Eukaryota; Viridiplantae; Streptophyta; Magnoliopsida; Brassicales; Brassicaceae
Source: RNAcentral
CUGGUUGAGUGCGGAAUGGAG